RNAcentral lists this ribosomal RNA (496 nucleotides) under uncultured bacterium. Its description in RNAcentral is "partial 16S ribosomal RNA". It matches the Rfam family "Bacterial small subunit ribosomal RNA", at positions 28 to 506 of the family's 1533-position model. The record is from RNAcentral.
GAUGAACGCUGGCGGCGUGCCUAAUACAUGCAAGUCGAGCGAACGGACGAGAAGCUUGCUUUUCUGAUGUUAGCGGCGGACGGGUGAGUAACACGUGGAUAACCUACCUAUAAGACUGGGAUAACUUCGGGAAACCGGAGCUAAUACCGGAUAAUAUUUUGAACCGCAUGGUUCAAAAGUGAAAGACGGUCUUGCUGUCACUUAUAGAUGGAUCCGCGCUGCAUUAGCUAGUUGGUAAGGUAACGGCUUACCAAGGCAACGAUGCAUAGCCGACCUGAGAGGGUGAUCGGCCACACUGGAACUGAGACACGGUCCAGACUCCUACGGGAGGCAGCAGUAGGGAAUCUUCCGCAAUGGGCGAAAGCCUGACGGAGCAACGCCGCGUGAGUGAUGAAGGUCUUCGGAUCGUAAAACUCUGUUAUUAGGGAAGAACAUAUGCGUAAGUAACGGUGCACAUCUUGACGGGACCUAAUCAGAAAGCCACGGCUAACUACGU